Molecule: long non-coding RNA, 675 nt
Filed under: Ricinus communis (castor bean)
Lineage: Eukaryota; Viridiplantae; Streptophyta; Magnoliopsida; Malpighiales; Euphorbiaceae
Description: long non-coding RNA (RCOM_LNC001845)
Source: RNAcentral
UUANNNCAAUAUAAAGCUUCGAUGAGACCUCAAUACCCGCUUUUGUCUCUAACCACGGUAAAAAGUCUUCACGUUCUUAUCCAAAUAAUGAUUAUUUACCUAACACGCGAAAAUAAGUAGUCCUUUAAAUCGAGAUAUUUGCUCUGUAAAAAAACUAAAAUAUAUGCUAACAAAAUGAACAAGACGAAAUUGGAGUAAGAAUGGAGAGAGCGAACGAACCUUGGAUUUAGAUAUGGAGGAGAAAUGACGAGAAGUGGUCAAGAGAUAUCGUAAAGACCACCGUGGUUUUGCGAUACUAAUACGCGGCAGUUGCAUUUGAAGCAAAACGACAGUCUCGUCUCGACUCUUUCUGAGCUUGUCGUUUGGUUUGAUGAUGGUUUACUGUGGAAGUGAAGCUCGGGUUGUUGAAGACUUGAAGUGAGCAACAGGAGGACUGCACAUGUAACUGGAGGUGGAGUUGAGGGAAUGUUUGGCUGGCUGGCUUAGUUUACUCCUCUGGUGGAUUGUAACUGACGAAUUGAUUAUCUGCUUGACCCGAUCAUAUUCAUAGACUCAACAUUUCCAACAAUACUCCUUCAAUGUCUUUCUAUUAAAUCAUAAUAAAUGCAUCUUUGAUCUCUUGCAUUUUUAUUGUUUUUAGACAAUUUUACAUGGAGUCUUUACACUUUCAGUUUU